UCCCUGGCAGUCCAGUGGCUAAGACUCUGCGCUUCCAAUGCAAGGGGCCCAGGUUUGAUCCCUGGUUGGGGAA
Molecule: transfer RNA, 73 nt
Filed under: Bos taurus (domestic cattle)
Lineage: Eukaryota; Metazoa; Chordata; Mammalia; Artiodactyla; Bovidae
Also listed under: 4 other names
Rfam family: tRNA
About the family: Transfer RNA (tRNA) molecules are approximately 80 nucleotides in length. Their secondary structure includes four short double-helical elements and three loops (D, anti-codon, and T loops).
Source: Rfam by way of RNAcentral